This 72-nucleotide transfer RNA is filed under the name Methanobacteriota archaeon. RNAcentral describes it as "Euryarchaeota archaeon tRNA-Glu". It matches the Rfam family "tRNA". Rfam says of the family: Transfer RNA (tRNA) molecules are approximately 80 nucleotides in length. Their secondary structure includes four short double-helical elements and three loops (D, anti-codon, and T loops). Lineage: Archaea; Methanobacteriati; Methanobacteriota. The record is from RNAcentral.
UCCGCUGUCGUCUAGUGGUUAGGAUAUGAGGCUUUCACCCUCACGACCGGGGUUCGAACCCCCGCAGCGGAA